CUACGGGUCGCACCAGUGAGGAAUUUUCCGCAAUGGGCGCAAGCCUGACGGAGCGACGCCGUGUGUGGGAUGAAAUCCUUCGGGAUGUAAACCACUGUCAGAGGGGAAGAUAUUGACGGUACCCUCAGAGGAAGGCCCGGCUAACUACGUGCCAGCAGCCGCGGUAAUACGUAGGGGCCAAGCGUUGUCCGGAAUUAUUGGGCGUAAAGGGCGUGUAGGCUGUCUUGUAAGUCAGAUGUAAAAUCUACGGGCUCAACCCGUAGCCGCAUUUGAUACUACUUGACUAGAGAGUGCUAGAGGAAAGCGGAACUUUCGGUGUAGCGGUGAAAUGCGUAGAUAUCGGAAGGAACACCAGUGGCGAAGGCGGCUUUCUGGGGCACUUCUGACGCUGAGACGCGAAAGCUAGGGGAGCAAACGGGAUUAGAUACCCGCGUAGUC
Molecule: ribosomal RNA, 438 nt
Filed under: uncultured bacterium
Lineage: Bacteria
Description: partial 16S ribosomal RNA
Rfam family: Bacterial small subunit ribosomal RNA
Source: RNAcentral